AGACGUCUACAUUAGAUACCCCGGUAGUCCAGGGUGUAAACGCUGCAGACUUGGUGUUGGAGGCCCUUUGGGGGCAUUCAGUGCCGGAGAGAAGUUGUUAAGUCUGCUACUUGGGAGUACGUCCGCAAGGAUGAAACUUAAAGGAAUUGGCGGGGGAGCACCGCAACGGGAGGAGCGUGCGGUUUAAUUGGAUUCAACACCGUAAACUCACCAGGGAAGACUGUUACAUGAAGGCCGAGAUGAAGACUCUGCUAGAUUUUCAG
RNAcentral lists this ribosomal RNA (263 nucleotides) under uncultured archaeon. RNAcentral describes it as "partial 16S ribosomal RNA". It matches the Rfam family "Archaeal small subunit ribosomal RNA", at positions 717 to 982 of the family's 1478-position model. The record is from RNAcentral.